This 498-nucleotide ribosomal RNA is filed under the name uncultured bacterium. RNAcentral describes it as "partial 16S ribosomal RNA". It matches the Rfam family "Bacterial small subunit ribosomal RNA", at positions 30 to 523 of the family's 1533-position model. The record is from RNAcentral.
AUUGAACGCUGGCGGCAUGCCUUACACAUGAAAGUCGAACGGUAACAGGUCUUCGGAUGCUGACGAGUGGCGAACGGGUGAGUAAUACAUCGGAACGUGCCCAGACGUGGGGGAUAACGAGGCGAAAGAUUUGCUAAUACCGCAUACGAUCUAAGGAUGAAAGCAGGGGACGGCAAGGCCUUGCGCGUUUGGAGCGGCAGAUGGCAGAUUAGGUAGUUGGUGGGAUAAAAGCUUACCAAGCGGACGAUCUGUAGCUGGUCUGAGAGGACGACCAGCCACACUGGGACUGAGACACGGCCCAGACCCCUACGGGAGGCAGCAGUGGGGAAUUUUGGACAGUGGGCGAAAGCCUGAUCCAGCAAUGCCGCGUGCAGGAUGAAGGCCUUCGGGUUGUAAACUGCUUUUGUACGGAACGAAAAGGCCCUGGCUAAUACCUGGGGCACAUGACGGUACCGUAAGAAUAAGCACCGGCUAACUACGUGCCAGCAGCCGCCGUAA